Molecule: ribosomal RNA, 545 nt
Filed under: uncultured bacterium
Lineage: Bacteria
Description: bacterial SSU rRNA
Rfam family: Bacterial small subunit ribosomal RNA
Source: RNAcentral
CACCUACGGGAGGCAGCAGUGGGGAAUAUUGGACAAUGGGCGCAAGCCUGAUCCAGCAAUGCCGCGUGUGUGAAGAAGGCCUUCGGGUUGUAAAGCACUUUUGUUCGGGAAGAAAUCCGUGUGGUUAAUACCCGUACGGGAUGACGGUACCGAAAGAAUAAGCACCGGCUAACUUCGUGCCAGCAGCCGCGGUAAUACGAAGGGUGCAAGCGUUAAUCGGAAUUACUGGGCGUAAAGCGUGCGUAGGCGGUUUGUUAAGUCAGAUGUGAAAGCCCCGGGCUCAACCUGGGAACUGCAUUUGAUACUGGCAGGCUAGAGUACGGUAGAGGGUGGUGGAAUUCCCGGUGUAGCGGUGAAAUGCGUAGAGAUCGGGAGGAACAUCCGUGGCGAAGGCGGCCACCUGGACCAGUACUGACGCUGAGGCACGAAAGCGUGGGGAGCAAACAGGAUUAGAUACCCUGGUAGUCCACGCCCUAAACGAUGCGAACUGGACGUUGGGCUCACUUUGGAGCUCAGUGUCGAAGCUAACGCGUUAAGUCGCCGCC